Molecule: ribosomal RNA, 2454 nt
Filed under: Listeria monocytogenes
Lineage: Bacteria; Bacillati; Bacillota; Bacilli; Caryophanales; Listeriaceae
Description: partial 23S ribosomal RNA
Rfam family: Bacterial large subunit ribosomal RNA
Source: RNAcentral
CUCCCUAGUGACCGAUAGUGAACCAGUACCGUGAGGGAAAGGUGAAAAGCACCCCGGAAGGGGAGUGAAACAGUUCCUGAAACCGUGUGCCUACAAGUAGUUAGAGCCCGUUAAUGGGUGAUAGCGUGCCUUUUGUAGAAUGAACCGGCGAGUUACGAUUUGUUGCAAGGUUAAGCGGAAAAAGCGGAGCCGUAGCGAAAGCGAGUCUGAAUAGGGCGCAUAAGUAACAGGUCGUAGACCCGAAACCAGGUGAUCUACCCAUGUCCAGGAUGAAGGUAAGGUAAUACUUACUGGAGGUCCGAACCCACGCACGUUGAAAAGUGCGGGGAUGAGGUGUGGGUAGCGGAGAAAUUCCAAUCGAACUUGGAGAUAGCUGGUUCUCUCCGAAAUAGCUUUAGGGCUAGCCUCGAGGUAAAGAGUCAUGGAGGUAGAGCACUGUUUGGACUAGGGGCCCUUCUCGGGUUACCGAAUUCAGAUAAACUCCGAAUGCCAUGUACUUAUACUCGGGAGUCAGACUGCGAGUGAUAAGAUCCGUAGUCGAAAGGGAAACAGCCCAGACCACCAGUUAAGGUCCCCAAAUAUAUGUUAAGUGGAAAAGGAUGUGGGGUUGCUUAGACAACCAGGAUGUUGGCUUAGAAGCAGCCACCAUUGAAAGAGUGCGUAAUAGCUCACUGGUCGAGUGACCCCGCGCCGAAAAUGUACCGGGGCUAAACAUAUUACCGAAACUGUGGAUGAACCUCUUUAGAGGUUCGUGGUAGGAGAGCGUUCUAAGGGCGGUGAAGUCAGACCGGAAGGACUGGUGGAGCGCUUAGAAGUGAGAAUGCCGGUAUGAGUAGCGAAAGAAGGGUGAGAAUCCCUUCCACCGAAUAUCUAAGGUUUCCUGAGGAAGGCUCGUCCGCUCAGGGUUAGUCGGGACCUAAGCCGAGGCCGAUAGGCGUAGGCGAUGGACAACAGGUAGAGAUUCCUGUACCAGUGCUAAUUGUUUAACCGAUGGGGUGACACAGAAGGAUAGGGAAUCGCACGAAUGGAAAUGUGCGUCCAAGCAGUGAGUGUGAGAAGUAGGCAAAUCCGCUUCUCGCGAAGCAUGAGCUGUGAUGGGGAAGGAAAUUAAGUACGGAAGUUCCUGAUUUCACGCUGUCAAGAAAAGCCUCUAGGAAGAGUAGUACUGCCCGUACCGCAAACCGACACAGGUAGAUGAGGAGAGAAUCCUAAGGUGAGCGAGAGAACUCUCGUUAAGGAACUCGGCAAAAUGACCCCGUAACUUCGGGAGAAGGGGUGCUCUAUUAGGGUGCAAGCCCGAGAGAGCCGCAGUGAAUAGGCCCAGGCGACUGUUUAGCAAAAACACAGGUCUCUGCAAAACCGUAAGGUGACGUAUAGGGGCUGACGCCUGCCCGGUGCUGGAAGGUUAAGAGGAGUGCUUAGCUUCGGCGAAGGUACGAAUUGAAGCCCCAGUAAACGGCGGCCGUAACUAUAACGGUCCUAAGGUAGCGAAAUUCCUUGUCGGGUAAGUUCCGACCCGCACGAAAGGCGCAACGAUCUGGGCACUGUCUCAACGAGAGACUCGGUGAAAUUAUAGUACCUGUGAAGAUGCAGGUUACCCGCGACAGGACGGAAAGACCCCGUGGAGCUUUACUGCAACCUGAUAUGGAAUGUUUGUACCGCUUGUACAGGAUAGGUAGGAGCCGAAGAGACGUGUGCGCUAGCAUACGAGGAGGCAAUGGUGGGAUACUACCCUGGCUGUAUGACCAUUCUAACCCGCCACGCUUAGCGCGUGGGGAGACAGUGUCAGGUGGGCAGUUUGACUGGGGCGGUCGCCUCCUAAAGAGUAACGGAGGCGCCCAAAGGUUCCCUCAGAAUGGAUGGAAAUCAUUCGCAGAGUGUAAAGGCACAAGGGAGCUUGACUGCGAGACUGACAAGUCGAGCAGGGACGAAAGUCGGGCUUAGUGAUCCGGUGGUUCCGCAUGGAAGGGCCAUCGCUCAACGGAUAAAAGCUACCCCGGGGAUAACAGGCUUAUCUCCCCCAAGAGUCCACAUCGACGGGGAGGUUUGGCACCUCGAUGUCGGCUCGUCGCAUCCUGGGGCUGUAGUCGGUCCCAAGGGUUGGGCUGUUCGCCCAUUAAAGCGGCACGCGAGCUGGGUUCAGAACGUCGUGAGACAGUUCGGUCCCUAUCCGUCGCGGGCGCAGGAAAUUUGAGAGGAGCUGUCCUUAGUACGAGAGGACCGGGAUGGACACACCGCUGGUGUACCAGUUGUUCCGCCAGGAGCAUCGCUGGGUAGCUAUGUGUGGCAGGGAUAAACGCUGAAAGCAUCUAAGCGUGAAGCCCCCCUCAAGAUGAGAUUUCCCAUUUCUUCGGAAAGUAAGAUCCCUGAAAGAUGAUCAGGUAGAUAGGUUUGGAGUGGAAGUGUAGCGAUACAUGGAGCGGACAAAUACUAAUCGAUCGAGGACUUAACCAA